RNAcentral lists this ribosomal RNA (253 nucleotides) under uncultured bacterium. Its description in RNAcentral is "partial 16S ribosomal RNA". It matches the Rfam family "Bacterial small subunit ribosomal RNA", at positions 524 to 776 of the family's 1533-position model. The record is from RNAcentral.
UACGAAGGGGGCUAGCGUUGUUCGGAAUUACUGGGCGUAAAGCGCACGUAGGCGGAUAUUUAAGUCAGGGGUGAAAUCCCAGAGCUCAACUCUGGAACUGCCUUUGAUACUGGGUAUCUCGAGUAUGGAAGAGGUGAGUGGAAUUCCGAGUGUAGAGGUGAAAUUCGUAGAUAUUCGGAGGAACACCAGUGGCGAAGGCGGCUCACUGGUCCAUUACUGACGCUGAGGCACGAAAGCGUGGGGAUCAAACAGG